GCGGGGCGGGAGACCAUGCGGAAAGCGGUGUUGGUCACCGGGGCGAGCAGCGGCGUUGGCCUCGCCCUCUGCAAGCGGCUGCUGGUGGAGGACCACGAGCUGCACCUGUGUCUGGCCUGUAGGAACAGGAGCAAAGCGGAAGCGGUCUGCGAGGCUCUGCUGGCCUCUCACCCCCUCGCCGAGGUCAGCAUCGUGCAGGUGGAUGUCAGCAACCUGCAGUCGGUGUUCCGGGCUUCCGAGGAGCUCAAGCAAAGGUUUCAGAGAUUAGACUAUGUCUAUCUGAACGCUGGGAUCAUGCCCAACCCACAGCUGAAUAUCAAAGCGCUUUUCUCUGGCCUCUUUUCAAGAAAAGUGAUUCAUAUGUUCUCCACAGCUGAAGGAUUGCUGACCCAGGAAGAUCAAAUCACUGCCGACGGGCUCCAGGAGGUGUUUGAGACCAACGUCUUUGGCCACUUCAUCCUGAUUCAGGAACUGGCACCUCUCCUCUGUCACAGUGACAGUCCUUCCCAGCUUAUCUGGACAUCGUCUCGCAAUGCGAGGAAAUCGAAUUUCUGCCUUGAGGACAUCCAACACAGCAGAGGCCAGGAGCCCUACAGCUCCUCCAAGUACGCGGUUGACCUGCUCAGCGUGGCUGUGAACAGGAACUUCAACUCGCGGGGUCUGUAUUCCAGUGUGGUGUGCCCGGGUACCAUGGUGACCAAUAUGACGUGUGGAAUUCUCCCUCCCUUUGUGUGGACACUGCUGAUGCCAAUCAUAUGGCUGCUUCGCUUUUUUGCAAAUGCUUUCACUCUGACACCGUACAAUGGAACAGAAGCCCUGAUACUGAAAAUCAGGUGUGGCGGUCAAGUAUAUACUGAGCGUCGGCGGUGCGAGGAACACUUAGAAGACAAAACCUCCAGGUACUAAGGCGCUUAGAGUCGUAUUUGGAAAAAAAGAGAAUGUCGAAAAUAAAAUAGGCGAGAAAAUAAGACAUUCUGUCAUCAGGUGGUAAGUCCUCGGACUAAUCACCGGGGGAUCAGUGGGAGCCGGGCUGGUUGAAGCAGGCUUUGCUUCCUUGGUCUGGGCUCUGAGGGAUAAGUUGGCUCUGGAUAGGACAGCGUGACGCACGUCACAGUUUAAAGAAAUCUGUUGUGACCCUGCUGUUUUUUCCUAAAAUGUCGAUGGAUGAGUCCGUAUCCCCCUGACUGCCAUUCAGUGAUGGUUGUAGAUGCUGGUGGAUGUGGGUGGAUGGGGAUUUGGGUACAGCGCACGUGCAGGAAGGAUCUCAGGUGAGAUUCACCUCCUUACGUGGGCUAAGCCGGAGUGGCCGAAAGCACAGUGGUUGAGGGCGUGGACUCUGGAAUUCUACGGAUUCUCUUCAGAUCCCACGUCUCCGGUUUCUGGCUGCGAACGCCGGGGCACAUGUUUUCAUUUGCUUUUAUCAUUGUCGGCAAAACAGGAAUUCCAGGCACGGACGAGAGGAAGCUUUACUAUAAAGCGUUUUGUGUGUUUCAGCGUUAACGAUUUCAAAGAAAACUGUCCUAAUGAAAACAGUAUAGUUCUGGCAGGUGCAUGGACAGGUCAGUGGAGUAGAAUAGGAAAUUCAGGACAGGCCCCCAGCACACAGGCAUCUAGUAUAUGACAACGAUGGCCUUCCAAAUUAGUGGGAGAGAGGGGUUAUUCUAGAAAUUGUGCCAAAAAAUAGAAUAGGAUCUUCAUACCUCACACCCAAAUAAAACUCUAGAUAAAUUCAAAGAUUUACACACGACGGAGUUAAAAUAUAUAAUGACUAGAAGGAAAUAUGGGGGACGUUUCUAAAUCGUCUAAGAGUGUGGGGACAUCCUUACUCCCAGGAACAGACUGAACAUUUUGAUUAAAUAAAAGUAAUCAAAUUUUGUGUGACCCAAAUCCUCACUGUAAAUCUACUCCAAAGACUAACCACGAUGCCCAAGAAAAGGUACCUGGCACUCAUAUCACAGUAACAGGUUAAGUUUCUUCCUGGUUAAGGAGCUUCAACAGUCCAGAGAAACAACAACCUAUUGGAACAGUGGGCAAAGGGUGUGAACAGAGAGUUCUUAAACUGUCUUAAUCGCACGGAAAGGUGCUCGACCUUACUCAAACUAGGAGGCAGCCCCCUUAAGGCUGUAAUGAGAUGGUUUCUCAACUCUGAUCAGCAAAGAUUAGAAAGUUUGGUACCGCACUGUCCUGUCAGGGGCGUAGAGAGAGAGCGUUCUCCCAUCUAGCCAGGGGGAGGGUUGACUGACGUAGGCUGGAUCAAGGACUGUUGGGCAAGAUCAUUCAAAAUAACACACGCACGUCCCCUUGACCCAGAAAUUCCAUCAUUGAUAUUUAUCUUACAGAUGUUCUCAGACUUAGAUCAUUCGCUGCAGCGUGGUUUGUACUAGCAGAGGCUGGAGACCACGUGUAUGUCCAUCCUUUGGAAAUUGAUUGUGUACAUUACAUCUUUGAUUGAUUGUGUCAAUUUCCAUCCAUGAGAUAGAACACUGUUUCUUUAAAAAAGAAUGAAACAGCUCUCUAUUUACCGAGUUGAAAAUAUCUCAAAGGGCCUAUUGUUCAAAUGAAAAUGGCAAAGUAUCGAAUAGUAUACAUUUGGCUUCCAUUUGAGUAAGAGAAAAGAAUAUACAAGCUUUUAAGCAAAUACCUUUUCUUUGGAGGAAUAUGUAAGAUACUAGCUUGCUUCCAGAGGGGAGAGCUAGAUGGCUGGAAAAUUGUGAAGGUAGGGAGACUUACUUUUUACCAGAACAUCUCCUGAAUGGUGUUCACGUUCAGGCCUAUUAAGAACGUGAAAUAACGUAACAAUAUACGUUGUACUUACCGUGGCAUGAGCUGAGUAUCAACUCUGAAAAAGCCCGUCUCUAUGCUGUGAACUUCAAUUUGGGAUUAAGGGGAGAGAUGGCUAAAACACAAGGGGUCUUUGCUUUAAAUAAAUUUUCUAAGAGGACCAUUCCUUCAGGGUACAGUAGUGGUUCGUGAAGACGUUACAGUUCGCUGAUGAUAUUCAAGAGAAGGUUUAGAGUUUGUUUGGAGCUUGGUAAAGUGCUGAUUAUCAAUCCCCACCAGCCUCACUCAUGUCGGGCAGAAGAAGAAAAGAAUCAUGGACACCCUCUUCCUUCCUAGGUAUGGCUUUUCCACCAAAAGCCCGAGUCUCUCAAUCCCCUGACCAAAUACCUGAGUGCCACCACUGGCUUUGGAAGCAAUUACGUAAUGACCCAGAAGAUGGACCUAGAUGAAGACACCGCUGAAAAAUUUUACCAAAACUUACUGGA
RNA transcript from Prionailurus viverrinus (fishing cat), 3266 nucleotides. It is a transcript of the gene named hydroxysteroid 17-beta dehydrogenase 7, with no coding region annotated. Lineage: Eukaryota; Metazoa; Chordata; Mammalia; Carnivora; Felidae. The record is from RefSeq and is a predicted model, not a curated record. The transcript is spliced from 9 exons.